This 456-nucleotide ribosomal RNA is filed under the name uncultured bacterium. RNAcentral's name for it is "bacterial SSU rRNA". It matches the Rfam family "Bacterial small subunit ribosomal RNA", at positions 33 to 507 of the family's 1533-position model. The record is from RNAcentral.
ACGCUGGCGGCGUGCCUAACACAUGCAAGUCAACGGGGUAAAGAGCUUCGGUUUUUUACUUAGUGGCGAACGGGUGAGUAACGCGUGAGAAACCUGCCUUUCAGUGGGGGACAACAGUUGGAAACGACUGCUAAUACCGCAUAAUGUUAUUUGGGGGCAUCCCCGAAUAACCAAAGAUUUAUUGCUGAAAGAUGGCCUCGCGUCCGAUUAGCUAGUUGGUGAGGUAAUGGCUCACCAAGGCGACGAUCGGUAGCCGGACUGAGAGGUUGAACGGCCACAUUGGGACUGAGACACGGCCCAGACUCCUACGGGAGGCAGCAGUGGGGAAUAUUGCACAAUGGGGGAAACCCUGACGCAGCAACGCCGCGUGAAGGAAGACGGUUUUCGGAUUGUAAACUUCUUUUAUAAGGGACGAAAUUGACGGUACCUUAUGAAUAAGCUCCGGCUAACUCCGUG